UUAUGAAUAGGUUUAAAAUCUUUGCUUGACAGGUUACUUAUGUCAGCUUAUUUUCUCACUUUGUUUUAGUGGCAAAGAAGAAUAAGUAAUUAAAAUUUCACAGUAAGUUUUGCUUACUGAUUUACUGAUGAAAACAAUGUUGACAUGCUGUGCUGAAGUGUGGGUUCAAGUGAAGAGGAAACUGUUCAAGUAAUGGGCCAGUGAGCAGCAUACUAUUCAAACAGUUUCAGACCUGCAUAAAGAAGAGGAAGAUGGCAUAACAAGAAAUUAGACAACGUUGAAAGUAACUUGCAUGAUCAGCAAGUGGCCAGCAGCCUCUCUGAUGCUGUCUGGGAAAAAAGGUGCUGUGAAUGGAGCUGCUCCAAACUGCAUGGCUCUGUAGUCAUCUCCUGUCUGGAUCAAAU
RNAcentral lists this long non-coding RNA (404 nucleotides) under Cyanistes caeruleus (blue tit). Its description in RNAcentral is "lncRNA (ENSCCEG00000020132.1)". Lineage: Eukaryota; Metazoa; Chordata; Aves; Passeriformes; Paridae. The record is from RNAcentral.